GUUGCCUCGAAACAGUCCUUUGGCAUGCCAAGCUCUAUGGCUACAUCCUCACACCCCAGGUGAGUUUGGCACUGUUGGAAGUAUGCAAUGGGGGCAGUACCUGCCCUGACCUCACUCCAUGUCUUGUGUCCCUGCCCAUAGACCUGCCUUGACCUGACCCUGGUUUAUGUGGGGAGCCCUGAGCAUGGCCAAGAGGUAGAGGUGUUCACUGCCCUCCCCCAGGAGGAAGGAGAGAUCCCUGGGAAUUCCAACAAAGGAGUCCAUCCUUUCUGAAGUGGACAUCAAGUGCUGCUCUGAAGUUGGGACUGUGACCUUUUAAUGGCAAAGUGGCAAGAACCUUACACUGCAGUCAAGGAGACCUGAAAUUCAUUUAGCAAGCUUUACGCAUCCCCUCUCCCAUCAGCUGAAAUGCAGCAUCCAACAUGGGAUGUCAUGACCCGAGCUGCCUCUGGCAAGGGGUGCUGUAGCUGGCUUAUGAGGGCAGAUAGAAUCAUCUGCCUCGGGGGCAGGUGAACAGCUGCGGUAAGGGAGUGGAUGAGACUAACUGUGCUAGGGGUGCUGUGGCUUUGGCUGCUACCUCAUCCUGUGCUUUUCUUCCUCUUUGGCAGGUGUCUCGCACAGCCUCAGAGGGGCACACUGCACACUGAAGAGCAGUGCAAGAAGGUGGGCUGGUUGUCAGCUAGGUUGGAGCAGAAUGGCUGAGUAGUGCAAGGUGAGAAGGGUUUCCCUCUUGCUUUGCAGGUGGCAUGACAGGCUCUCAACUGAUGUCGCUGAGGAUUUGAGGCGAGGCCAGAGAGCAGCAAGGAGCGGCACGUGCUGCAGCACUUCCAAGCACUGCGGUUGCUUUCUUUUUUGUUCACCAGGUGCUGCGGGUGGGAUGUGACAUCAGUCUUUAGAAUUGGUCUUUUAUAAUUGCCACAUAGCUUCUGGGAAGGGUGAUGUAGCAGAUAAAGUCUGCAUGGGACAGGGAACAAGGGAAAGCAUUUAGAUUUUGCAGGUUUUAGCUAACCCAGGGAGUAUGCUGUAUAUCAACCACAAGGACAGGACUGAGGCAGGGAGUAUGAGGAUGGGACAAUACUAAAAGGUAAGGGAAGAAAAGACUUCAUACACACAGAUAAUAAAACAAGCAAGAACUGGCUUGGACUGCUGAAAUCUGUAAUAGAAAGGAAGGGUCAGAAGUUUAGCAGUGAGGAAGACUUCUGGCCUUCAUCAAAAGACCACCAGAGUACACCGGACAACCACCCAAGGACUCUAGCGUGCAUGCAAAUAAGGGUGGGAACCUAUGUUAAUAAUUC
Molecule: long non-coding RNA, 1295 nt
Organism: Cygnus olor (mute swan)
Lineage: Eukaryota; Metazoa; Chordata; Aves; Anseriformes; Anatidae
Exons: 4
Source: RefSeq, a predicted model, not a curated record